CCUACGGGAGGCAGCAGUGAGGAAUAUUGGUCAAUGGGCGCGAGCCUGAACCAGCCAAGUAGCGUGAAGGAUGACUGCCCUACGGGUUGUAAACUUCUUUUAUAAAGGAAUAAAGUGAGGCACGUGUGCCUUUUUGUAUGUACUUUAUGAAUAAGGAUCGGCUAACUCCGUGCCAGCAGCCGCGGUAAUACGGAGGAUCCGAGCGUUAUCCGGAUUUAUUGGGUUUAAAGGGUGCGUAGGCGGCCUUUUAAGUCAGCGGUGAAAGUCUGUGGCUCAACCAUAGAAUUGCCGUUGAAACUGGGGGGCUUGAGUAUGUUUGAGGCAGGCGGAAUGCGUGGUGUAGCGGUGAAAUGCUUAGAUAUCACGCAGAACCCCGAUUGCGAAGGCAGCCUGCCAAGCCAUGACUGACGCUGAUGCUCGAAAGUGUGGGUAUCAAACAGGAUUAGAUACCCUUGUAGUC
Molecule: ribosomal RNA, 460 nt
Filed under: uncultured bacterium
Lineage: Bacteria
Description: partial 16S ribosomal RNA
Rfam family: Bacterial small subunit ribosomal RNA
Source: RNAcentral